GAAAGACACGUGUCGGUUUCCCAAAAGCCCUGGCACAAAAAAAGCUCAAGAGGGGGGAAACGGCUGCUCUCUGCCAGGACGAACUGCUGGCUCUCAAAUUCAAAGAUAAGAAGGAGGUGUUCAUGCUAACAUCUAUGCAUACUGAGCACACUCGAAGAGUCGCAGUUCGUGGCAGACAAGAAAUUAGACGGGUGCCAGUCUGCAUUAGGCAGUAUAACAAGCACAUGGGGGGAGUUGACCUGUCCGACCAACUGCUGCAACCCUAUUUAAUACUGAGGAAGACCAGGGCAUGGUACAAAAAGCUUGGCAUUUACCUUAUGCAAAUGGCGACUCACAAUGCCUUUAUUCUGUACAAAAAGGCAAAUGCUGACAUUAAAUCCACAUUUCUGGAUUUCCAGUUUCAGCUUAUUUCUGGGCUGCUCACUGAGUGCCACAGUGGGGAACCAUCAGCUGGGCCUAGCAGCAGAAGGGUUGAGACAGGUCACUUCUGUUUCCGGAUACCACCAACCCCCAAAAAGAAGACACCCCAGAAAAGGUGCAGGUUGUGCUACCAGAGGGGCAUAAGGAUGGAAACCAGCUUUUAUUGCCCUGAUUGCCCCUCUCAGCCCGGCCUUUGUAUUGGCAACUGUUUUAAAGUUUUUCACACCCAGGGAGAAUAAGUUGCAC
This is a non-coding RNA of Pelobates cultripes (western spadefoot toad), 666 nucleotides long. Lineage: Eukaryota; Metazoa; Chordata; Amphibia; Anura; Pelobatidae. The record is from the annotation of a GenBank genome assembly.